This 18-nucleotide microRNA is filed under the name Ciona intestinalis (vase tunicate). RNAcentral describes it as "cin-miR-4006e-3p". The record is from miRBase by way of RNAcentral. Lineage: Eukaryota; Metazoa; Chordata; Ascidiacea; Phlebobranchia; Cionidae.
GUCCUUUCCCUUAUGUUC